AGGGGCAAUCCUUCCUCUCCUAACCC
RNAcentral lists this transfer RNA (26 nucleotides) under Crocodylus palustris (marsh crocodile). RNAcentral's name for it is "partial tRNA-Met". Lineage: Eukaryota; Metazoa; Chordata; Crocodylia; Crocodylidae. The record is from RNAcentral.